GACGAACGCUGGCGGCGUGCUUAACACAUGCAAGUCGAACGGAAAGGCCCUGCUUUUGUGGGGGGCUCGAGUGGCGAACGGGUGAGUAACACGAGAGUAACCUGCCCUUGACUUUGGGAUAACUUCAGGAAACUGGGGCUAAUACCGUAUAGGAGCUCCUGCUGCUUGGUGGGGGUUGGACAGUUUCGGCGGUUGGGGAUGGACUCGCGGCUUAUCAGCUUGUUGGUGGGGUAGUGGCUUACCAAGGCUUUGACGGGUAGCCGGCCUGAGAGGGUGACCGGCCACAUUGGGACUGAGAUACGGCCCAGACUCCUACGGGAGGCAGCAGUGGGGAAUAUUGCACAAUGGGCGGAAGCCUGAUGCAGCAACGCCGCGUGCGGGAUGACGGCCUUCGGGUUGUAAACCGCUUUCGCCUGUGACGAAGCGUGAGUGACGGUAAUGGGUAAAGAAGCACCGGCUAACUACGUG
This 468-nucleotide ribosomal RNA is filed under the name uncultured bacterium. RNAcentral's name for it is "partial 16S ribosomal RNA". It matches the Rfam family "Bacterial small subunit ribosomal RNA", at positions 28 to 507 of the family's 1533-position model. The record is from RNAcentral.